Molecule: transfer RNA, 76 nt
Filed under: Bacillota bacterium
Lineage: Bacteria; Bacillati; Bacillota
Also listed under: 2 other names
Description: Firmicutes bacterium (compost metagenome) tRNA-Trp
Rfam family: tRNA
About the family: Transfer RNA (tRNA) molecules are approximately 80 nucleotides in length. Their secondary structure includes four short double-helical elements and three loops (D, anti-codon, and T loops).
Source: RNAcentral
AGGGGAGUAGCUCAAUUGGUAGAGCACCGGUCUCCAAAACCGGGGGUUGCGGGUUCGAGUCCUGUCUCCCCUGCCA